GAGUUUGAUCCUGGCUCAGAGCGAACGCUGGCGGCAGGCCUAACACAUGCAAGUCGAACGAGGUCUUCGGACCUAGUGGCGGACGGGUGAGUAACACGUGGGAACGUGCCCUUUGGUACGGAAUAACUCAGGGAAACUUGAGCUAAUACCGUAUGUGCCCUUCGGGGGAAAGAUUUAUCGCCAUUGGAGCGGCCCGCGUCUGAUUAGCUAGUUGGUGAGGUAAUGGCUCACCAAGGCGACGAUCAGUAGCUGGUCUGAGAGGAUGACCAGCCACAUUGGGACUGAGACACGGCCCAAACUCCUACGGGAGGCAGCAGUGGGGAAUCUUGCGCAAUGGGCGAAAGCCUGACGCAGCCAUGCCGCGUGGAUGAUGAAGGUCUUAGGAUUGUAAACUCCUGUCAUGCGAGAACAAAGCCCGCAAGGGUGUGAUAGUACCGCAAGAGGAAGAGACGGCUAACUCUGUGCCAGCCGCCGCUGUAAC
Molecule: ribosomal RNA, 481 nt
Filed under: uncultured Alphaproteobacteria bacterium
Lineage: Bacteria; Pseudomonadati; Pseudomonadota; Alphaproteobacteria
Description: bacterial SSU rRNA
Rfam family: Bacterial small subunit ribosomal RNA
Source: RNAcentral